UCUUGCUGCACUUUUUGUAAAUAAUCAGGCCAAGUAUAAGACUAAAGUCUAUUUUGCAAACAACUCAGUCCUAUCAUGAUUUUAACAAGAAUGAGGA
Molecule: long non-coding RNA, 97 nt
Organism: Sapajus apella (tufted capuchin)
Lineage: Eukaryota; Metazoa; Chordata; Mammalia; Primates; Cebidae
Exons: 3
Source: RefSeq, a predicted model, not a curated record